AUGAAUUCUUUUAAGCCACAAGGUUUAUUCUUAGCCAAUCAUUUUGAUAAUAUUUUUAUUUUCUCCUCUUUUUCAUUCACGCGGUCGUCCCUCUGAGUUUCCUUUUUUAUUCUCCUAUUUAAUUGAAAUUGAAGCUUCUUCUAAUCAAGAACCCUAAAUCCCUCUGUAUUCUGCUUCUCCCAUACGUUUCAUCUUCGCACAAUAUCUCUCUCCUCAACCUUUUCCCUAUCUUAUUUUGCAAAUCACAAAACUAGGCGUCUAAAGCAAGGAUUGAAAGCAUCGAUUGAAGGCAACACACGAGGCAAUUCUCAUAUAUCUCUGAUUCAUCCUAAAUCGUUACCCUCUGAACUGGAUCU
RNAcentral lists this long non-coding RNA (356 nucleotides) under Helianthus annuus (common sunflower). Its description in RNAcentral is "sRNA HanXRQr2_Chr05g0233421". Lineage: Eukaryota; Viridiplantae; Streptophyta; Magnoliopsida; Asterales; Asteraceae. The record is from RNAcentral.